RNAcentral lists this ribosomal RNA (460 nucleotides) under uncultured bacterium. RNAcentral's name for it is "partial 16S ribosomal RNA". It matches the Rfam family "Bacterial small subunit ribosomal RNA", at positions 338 to 795 of the family's 1533-position model. The record is from RNAcentral.
CCUACGGGAGGCAGCAGUGAGGAAUAUUGGUCAAUGGACGAGAGUCUGAACCAGCCAAGUAGCGUGAAGGAUGACUGCCCUAUGGGUUGUAAACUUCUUUUAUAUGGGAAUAAAACAGGGUAUGCAUACCCUCUUUUAUGUACCAUAUGAAUAAGGAUCGGCUAACUCCGUGCCAGCAGCCGCGGUAAUACGGAGGAUCCGAGCGUUAUCCGGAUUUAUUGGGUUUAAAGGGAGCGUAGGUGGAUUGUUAAGUCAGUUGUGAAAGUUUGCGGCUCAACCGUAAAAUUGCAGUUGAAACUGGCAGUCUUGAGUACAGUAGAGGUGGGCGGAAUUCGUGGUGUAGCGGUGAAAUGCUUAGAUAUCACGAAGAACUCCGAUUGCGAAGGCAGCUCACUGGACUGCAACUGACACUGAUGCUCGAAAGUGUGGGUAUCAAACAGGAUUAGAUACCCUUGUAGUC